UAAAACACUGUGAGAAAGAAAGUAGAACUGCACAAUUUUCUAAAAGAGAGUCUUGGUAGCUGAAAAGAGACGAAAAUAGGUAGUUUGAAAAUGGCUUUUGAGUGGAUUCUUCGAAUAAUUAGGAGAAUACGGGAUGUUCCGUUAAACAACAGCAAGUCUCCAAACGAUUGGGUACUUGUCAAGGAAGGGCUUGUGAGAGCUCUUUAAAGUAAGGUGGUAACACAUGUAACUAUGUCCUUAGG
This 242-nucleotide non-coding RNA is filed under the name Enterococcus phoeniculicola. RNAcentral describes it as "T-box sequence". It matches the Rfam family "T-box leader". From Rfam's summary of the family: Uncharged tRNA acts as the effector for transcription antitermination of genes in the T-box leader family. T-boxes are found upstream of many aminoacyl-tRNA synthetase genes and some amino acid biosynthetic genes usually in Gram-positive bacteria. The anticodon of a specific tRNA base pairs to a specifier sequence within the T-box motif, and the NCCA acceptor tail of the tRNA base pairs to a conserved bulge in the T-box antiterminator hairpin. Lineage: Bacteria; Bacillati; Bacillota; Bacilli; Lactobacillales; Enterococcaceae. The record is from RNAcentral.